GGGCGGAGGGGGGGGAUAGAGAGAAAGAGUGAGUGAGGUGACAGGAGUGAAAGAGAAGACAAAUCCAGGAGUUAUUGUGGAGGAAAAGGCGGCCACGCUUCACUAGCUUGUCUCAGGGACGUUGAAAGGGAUUCCGCCUCCUUUUCGCACAAUACAAAUCUAAUAAGAACGUUACAAAAAGCGCAGACGCCGUCGGCCUUGCGGCAGCAGACCGAAUCUUCCGUCUUAUUGCAAUAAUUCACUUCUAUCUAUCCACUGCUGAAGCCUUUUAUAAGAUUCCUAUUGAAUCUGUGAGGGGGGGGGGGAAUAUGCCAUUGCUUGGUUAUUAAAAGUUAAGAAAGAUUUCAAUUUUGGGUGCGCUGACAAGCAGAGUCACCAAAUGCUCCACAAGAGUACUGUGACUUGAGGAUAAUCCGUAAAAAGUUGUCCUUCAUAGACUGACUUCAAUUAAUUUUCUGUUUGCGCUCUUCAAACGGCACAAGUUUGAAGCGGAAUUCCUGUGGGCUGAAAUGUGGACAUUUUUCGGCAAACUCGGAUGGCGCUUGACAAAGUGUCGCGGGUCUUGUUCCUAAUGAAUCAGUCAAGUGAUGCCUCAAAACAAAACACAAACUACGAAAGUAAAAGUAAAGACACCGAGAUCAAUAGUGGAAUUUAACUUCAUGUGAUCAGGCUUCUUCACAAAAAGAAUUGAGGUAAAGACUUUGCCGCGUGAAACUAUUCGGAUAAGCGACACGUUCUCUUCUAGCCUUCGACAUGGCUAGCAUGUUAGCAAAAAGAAUCGAGGUAAAGAGUUUGUCGCGUGAAACUAUUCGGAUAAGCGACACGUUCUCUUCUAGCCAUCGACAUGGCUAGCAUGUUAGCAAAAAGAAUCGAGGUAAAGACUUUGUCGCGUGAAACUAUUCGGAUAAGCGACACGUUCUCUUCUAGCCAUCGACAUGGCUAGCAUGUUAGCUAGCGCAUUUCAAGUGGCCUUACGCCAAACAAGAAUAUUUGUACAGCACGGGGAAAAAUAAGUGGCUAAUAAUCAUUAGCCUCAGGCUAACGCGACAACAAACGGCAUUUUGUGGCGUAUGAUUUGCAUUGAUCAACCCAUUACCGUUGCAUUUGUCUGCGGUGUCCGUUUCUUCAAAAGAAGACGAAAUAAUGUUGUUGCUCUUUCCUAAAAGAGCGGGAUUCGAACUGAGAUUUUUUUUAUUACGCUCUACAUUAUUUUAUCCAUCCGAGAAUCUUCCGGGAGAACGUGCUGCCGGCAGUUUGUCGUGCCUUCAUUUUACAUCUAUUCCCGAUCAUAUAAAAGAAAAGCAGUUUUAUGUUUCGCGAUUUGUUUUCCGAUUCGGUUGCUCUCUUUCACGCCGUCUAGCAAGAGCGGCAAAAGCCGACUUGUGUGAAAAGGUGAAAGCAAUUUGUAACAUGCUAAUUCCGCAUUGCGAACACUGCACGUGUAAAAAAAAAAAGAAA
Hippocampus zosterae (dwarf seahorse) is the source of this 1458-nucleotide long non-coding RNA. RefSeq lists it as uncharacterized. The transcript is spliced from 3 exons. The record is from RefSeq and is a predicted model, not a curated record. NCBI's taxonomy places the organism in Eukaryota, Metazoa, Chordata, Actinopteri, Syngnathiformes, Syngnathidae.